This 888-nucleotide ribosomal RNA is filed under the name uncultured rumen bacterium. RNAcentral describes it as "bacterial SSU rRNA". It matches the Rfam family "Bacterial small subunit ribosomal RNA", at positions 505 to 1396 of the family's 1533-position model. The record is from RNAcentral.
GUGCCAGCAGCCGCGGUAAUACGGAGGAUGCGAGCGUUAUCCGGAUUUAUUGGGUUUAAAGGGUGCGUAGGCGGACUUUUAAGCGUGAGGUGAAAUGCGCGGGCUCAACCUGUGAACUGCCUCGCGAACUGGGAGUCUUGAAUGUCCGUGCCGUGGGAGGAAUGUGUGGUGUAGCGGUGAAAUGCAUAGAGAUCACACAGAACACCGAUUGCGAAGGCAUCUCACGAACGGAUGAUUGACGCUGAGGCACGAAAGCGUGGGGAUCAAACAGGAUUAGAUACCCUGGUAGUCCACGCAGUAAACGAUGAUAACUAACCGCUGGGCAUUCGUGUUCAGUGGCCAAGCGAAAGCGAUAAGUUAUCCACCUGGGGAGUACGACCGCAAGGUUGAAACUCAAAGGAAUUGACGGGGGCCCGCACAAGCGGAGGAACAUGUGGUUUAAUUCGAUGAUACGCGAGGAACCUUACCCGGGCUCGAACGGCAGAGGAACAAUCCAGAGAUGGUGCGGCCCUUCGGGGCUUCUGUCGAGGUGCUGCAUGGUUGUCGUCAGCUCGUGCCGUGAGGUGUCGGCUCAAGUGCCAUAACGAGCGCAACCCUUGUCGUCAGUUACCAGCACGUGAUGGUGGGGACUCUGGCGAGACUGCCACCGCAAGGUGAGAGGAAGGGGGGGAUGACGUCAAAUCAGCACGGCCCUUACGUCCGGGGCGACACACGUGUUACAAUGGGGGUUACAGAGGGGAACUACCUGGUGACAGGAUGGGAAUCUCGAAAAGCCCUCUCAGUCCGGAUCGGAGUCUGCAACUCGACUCCGUGAAGCUGGAUUCGCUAGUAAUCGCGCAUCAGCCAUGGCGCGGUGAAUACGUUCCCGGGCCUUGUACACACCGCCCG